Molecule: ribosomal RNA, 253 nt
Filed under: uncultured bacterium
Lineage: Bacteria
Description: partial 16S ribosomal RNA
Rfam family: Archaeal small subunit ribosomal RNA
Source: RNAcentral
UACCAGCACCCCGAGUGGUCGGGACGAUUAUUGGGCCUAAAGCAUCCGUAGCCGGUCAUGCAAGUCUUCCGUUAAAUCCAGCCGCUCAACGGUUGGGCUGCAGAGGAUACUACGUGGCUAGGAGGCGGGAGAGGCAAGCGGUACUCAGUGGGUAGGGGUAAAAUCCUUUGAUCCAUUGAAGACCACCAGUGGCGAAGGCGGCUUGCCAGAACGCGCUCGACGGUGGGGGAUGAAAGCUGGGGGAGCAAACCGG